GCAAAAAGUAAAUCAUUCAAUAAAAUAAUAGAAAACAGUCUCAUACAAUCCCUACAGACAAAAUAAAUCCACCAAGCUCAAUGUAUAAUCCCGCUAUCCUUCUACCACCAAGAACACCAAUCGAUCAAACAAAACAACAAGUGGCAGCAUCAGUCGAGACAAUAUGUAACAAUGUGACCUCAUUCGAACUAAAUCAGCAUGUUGAACAAUCCGAACAUCAUAGCAGCAACCAGCACCAACCCACCAGCUACAUUCUUCUCAACACCACUCGCUUCGUCAUUGGCGGUGGCGGUGGGCGACGGACCUUCAGAUCCGGCCGGUGAGGGGGUGGCCGGAGCCGGCGGGCUAGCGGUGGAGGGAGCGGGGGCGCCAGCCUUUGUCUUCUUCUUCUUCUUUCCCUUGCUUGCUGCCGGGGCCGGGACGUCAGCAGGCUUCGACGGGGCGGUGGCGGGGGUUACGGUGGCAGCCAACGGCGCCGGCACUGGUGGAGAUACUGUCGGUGCCGGCACGGGCGGGGAGUUGACGGGGGCAGGGGAUGGAGGAGAGGACACCGGUGCAGCGGUUGGCGUGGGCAGGACAACCGGGGUAACAGCAGGUGGAGUGGAGACUGGGGCAACCGGUGAGGUGGGGGCAGCGGCCGGGGCGGGGGUGGUGGUUUUCGCUGGGGCGGCAGCCGGGGUGGGAGUCGUGGUUUUCACAGGGGCGGCGGCAGGGGCAGGGGUGGUGGGUUUCGUGGGGGCGGCGGGGGCAGGGGUGGUGAGUUUCGUGGGGGCGGCGGCCGGGGCGGUGGUGGCGACGGGUGGGGCGGGGGUGGUGGUGGCGACUGGUGGAGCGGCAGUGGCUGGAGUGGUGGUCGGGGCGGCUGCAGGGCCCUGAGCGGAGCUGGUGGCGGCGGCUAAGACCAGCAAUGCUACACAGAGCAAAAUGCACCGCGCCAUUGUUUGGUUGAGAAAGAUGUGAAGAAUUUUUUUAACCGAUAAUGGGAGAUAUUGUGAGAUGAGGGAGGAGUG
Molecule: unclassified non-coding RNA, 1010 nt
Filed under: Hevea brasiliensis (rubber tree)
Lineage: Eukaryota; Viridiplantae; Streptophyta; Magnoliopsida; Malpighiales; Euphorbiaceae
Source: RNAcentral